This 497-nucleotide ribosomal RNA is filed under the name uncultured bacterium. Its description in RNAcentral is "partial 16S ribosomal RNA". It matches the Rfam family "Bacterial small subunit ribosomal RNA", at positions 28 to 507 of the family's 1533-position model. The record is from RNAcentral.
GAUGAACGCUGGCGGCGUGCCUAAUACAUGCAAGUCGAGCGAACAGACGAGGAGCUUGCUCCUCUGACGUUAGCGGCGGACGGGUGAGUAACACGUGGAUAACCUACCUAUAAGACUGGGAUAACUUCGGGAAACCGGAGCUAAUACCGGAUAACAUGUUGAACCGCAUGGUUCAACAGUGAAAGACGGUCUUGCUGUCACUUAUAGAUGGAUCCGCGCCGCAUUAGCUAGUUGGUAAGGUAACGGCUUACCAAGGCAACGAUGCGUAGCCGACCUGAGAGGGUGAUCGGCCACACUGGAACUGAGACACGGUCCAGACUCCUACGGGAGGCAGCAGUAGGGAAUCUUCCGCAAUGGGCGAAAGCCUGACGGAGCAACGCCGCGUGAGUGAUGAAGGUCUUCGGAUCGUAAAACUCUGUUAUUAGGGAAGAACAAAUGUGUAAGUAACUAUGCACGUCUUGAUGGUACCUAAUCAGAAAGCCACGGCUAACUACGUG